AACGAACGCUGGCGGCAUGCCUAACACAUGCAAGUCGAACGAGACCUUCGGGUCUAGUGGCGCACGGGUGCGUAACGCGUGGGAACCUGCCUUUAGGUUCGGAAUAACUCAGAGAAAUUUGAGCUAAUACCGGAUAAUGUCUUCGGACCAAAGAUUUAUCGCCUUUAGAUGGGCCCGCGUAAGAUUAGCUAGUUGGUGGGUAAAGGCCUACCAAGGCGACGAUCUUUAGCUGGUCUGAGAGGAUGAUCAGCCACACUGGGACUGAGACACGGCCCAGACUCCUACGGGAGGCAGCAGUGGGGAAUAUUGGACAAUGGGCGAAAGCCUGAUCCAGCAAUGCCGCGUGAGUGAUGAAGGCCUUAGGGUUGUAAAGCUCUUUUACCCGAGAUGAUAAUGACAGUAUCGGGAGAAUAAGCUCCGGCUAACUCCGUGCCAGCAGCCGCGGUAAU
This 449-nucleotide ribosomal RNA is filed under the name uncultured bacterium. Its description in RNAcentral is "bacterial SSU rRNA". It matches the Rfam family "Bacterial small subunit ribosomal RNA", at positions 29 to 524 of the family's 1533-position model. The record is from RNAcentral.